CUAUAGGCUUAACACAUGCAAGUCGAGGGGCAGCGAAUAGAUAGCUUGCUAUUUAUGUCGGCGACCGGCGCACGGGUGAGUAACGCGUAUCCAACCUGCCCAUAACUAAGGGAUAACCCAGCGAAAGUUGGACUAAUACCUUAUGUAUUCGUUUGAUCUCAUGAGAUUAUGAAUAAAGAUUUAUCGGUUAUGGAUGGGGAUGCGUCUGAUUAGCUUGUUGGCGGGGUAACGGCCCACCAAGGCAACGAUCAGUAGGGGUUCUGAGAGGAAGGUCCCCCACAUUGGAACUGAGACACGGUCCAAACUCCUACGGGAGGCAGCAGUGAGGAAUAUUGGUCAAUGGACGCAAGUCUGAACCAGCCAAGUAGCGUGCAGGAUGACGGCCCUAUGGGUUGUAAACUGCUUUUAUAUGGGGAUAAAGUGGGGAACGUGUUCCCUUUUGCAGGUACCAUAUGAAUAAGGACCGGCUAAUUCCGUGCCAGCAGCCGCGGUAA
Molecule: ribosomal RNA, 494 nt
Filed under: uncultured Bacteroidales bacterium
Lineage: Bacteria; Pseudomonadati; Bacteroidota; Bacteroidia; Bacteroidales
Description: bacterial SSU rRNA
Rfam family: Bacterial small subunit ribosomal RNA
Source: RNAcentral